Molecule: non-coding RNA, 1490 nt
Organism: Oryza sativa Japonica Group (Japanese rice)
Lineage: Eukaryota; Viridiplantae; Streptophyta; Magnoliopsida; Poales; Poaceae
Source: RefSeq, a predicted model, not a curated record
GGGACUGCUUAUUUAUUUGUGAUGAUUUUAACUAAUAUUUGUUUCGAUUUAACUGUAGUUAAUUACCGACAUGAUUAUUUUUUUAGAUAAUGACCGACAUGAUUGUCUGUUUUAACUCUCCUAUCAAAAGCAAUAAAAGAUUCAUCGGGUGAGAAAGAAAAAAGAAACAGAAAAGAAAAGUCAAUGGCCUUCCGCUCCAUCCGCACGUUGGAUAGACCGAUCCCCUUUCUCCAUCGCUCUUCCGCUCCACUGCAUCGGCGACAGCAUCCCGCACGGCCGCACGGCCGCAUGGCCCGCACCCUCGGCCACCUCCAGCCACGCCCUCCUCUCCACAGCCUCCUCCCGUCCUCUGCGCUUUCCUCCCUCUCCACACCUCCCCUUUCCUCCCCUCCCCACCCACCACGAUGCCCACCAGCGGCUGGGCAGAGGGGUGGCGCAGGCAGCGGGGCGACGCAAGCGACCAGGCGAGCGGUCGGGAGGAGGAUGUGCAGGCGACGCAAGGGACAAGCGCAGGUGGCCGACGGCGGAAGCGGCGCGGGCGCAGGUGGCCGAUGCCGGGAGCGGCACGGGCUCAGUUGGCCGACGGUGGUCGGACAGUGAAGGUAGCCACCGUACUUUGUCCUAAGGAAAACAAGAAAGGCACAGCAGAUUCAAGCAUGAAACUUUUGAAGAUAAUGGAUUACCCGGCCAGGCAGUCAAGCGAAGAAAGAAAAAGUUGCUCAGUGCUUCGAUGCUGCCAGCCUGCCACUGGCCACCGCUAUGCCCGGCGGCCGGCGUCGGAGGAAGUGCCUCACGCAGUCACGCGGCAAGCCGGCAACAGUUCUGGCCUCGAGGUUGGCGGCGAAAGAGGUGCGCCACCACCAGGCUGGCGGCGGCAGCUCUGCCGUCUCGCGUAGGGGACGUUGUGGGCCCGCGCACGGCAGCAAUGUGCACGGCUGCAGCGGGCGUCCGGCGGCAACGCCAGGCACGCACGAGAGGCAUCAGCCAUCAGGUUGGGAGCUCGUGAGGCGGCGUAUCCCUGGUGCGAGCGAAGACGGAGGAAGGUCGUGGCGUAUCGCUGGCGUACCGUGAUUUAUUUAUUUUUUUGGAAAUCGCAAAUAUGUGGGAUACGUACGGGAUACGUAUCGGAGCGUAUCUGUAUCCAUUGCCGUAUCCGAUACGGAUACAUGACUAUGCAGCCGUAUCAGGGUAACCCAGCCUAGAUUCAUUAAUAUCUAUAUGAAUAUGUGCAAUACUAGAAAGUCUUAUAUCCUGAAACGGAUGAAGUAAUAUAAUAGUUAUUUCACUAUGUAAUGAAAUAACUUCUGCACCAGCUUAGUAUGCACACAGCCCAAAUAAUAGAAGCCUCGGUAUGGAGUAUGGGCAAUAAAAAUACCCUCUUUUAUAUUUGUAACCAUGUGUGCCAGUAUAUUUAUAUUGUUUGAGAAUUAAGGCAUCUCCCCCAUGCAUUUGAAUUAACCAAGAAUAUAUGCCAUUGGAUUUUGCAUCAA